This is a long non-coding RNA of Selaginella moellendorffii, 437 nucleotides long. RefSeq lists it as uncharacterized. Lineage: Eukaryota; Viridiplantae; Streptophyta; Lycopodiopsida; Selaginellales; Selaginellaceae. The transcript is spliced from 2 exons. The record is from RefSeq and is a predicted model, not a curated record.
AGAUUGGAGCUCAGGUGUCGAAGGACCGACUCUGAUUCCCAGAAAGCAUCUCUUAAAGUUUCUAGAGCUCACGAAAGUGUGGCCACCCACCAAAGCAAGAUGCUUUUUGGUUGUUCGCUUGCUGCUUUGGCGGAGGGCCUAGCCACGGCCAGCCACGUGAUAAGUGCAUCGUAAAAGGCCAAGGACGAGCAUGGAGAUGAUGGCAGGCAGGAGCGGCUCUCUUCCAACUCCAAAGCCUUCUGUUUUGGAAACAGUUCUUGCCCCACUCACUGGGCUGCCGCUGCUGCUGCUGGCACAGUGGACUGUUGCUGUGACAAAAAUUAUUGGCCUUCUUUCUUUUGGUUUUCUUCUUCCUUCCAGCACGCACACUGCUUUGAGGUUGGCAGCCUCAGCGCUUGGAACCCCAUCUUCUUAUGAACAUGAUUUCUAAAGUGGCU